This 262-nucleotide ribosomal RNA is filed under the name uncultured bacterium. RNAcentral's name for it is "partial 16S ribosomal RNA". It matches the Rfam family "Bacterial small subunit ribosomal RNA", at positions 793 to 1055 of the family's 1533-position model. The record is from RNAcentral.
GUCCACGCCCUAAACUAUGUCAACUGGUUGUCGGGGAAGCAAUUCCUUGGUAACGAAGCUAACGCGUGAAGUUGACCGCCUGGGGAGUACGGCCGCAAGGUUAAACUCAAAGGAAUUGACGGGGACCCGCACAAGCGGUGGAUUAUGUGGAUUAAUUCGAUGCAACGCGAAAACCUUACCUACCCUUGACAUGCUAGGAAGCUCGCAGAGAUGUGAGUGUGCCCGAAAGGGAACCUAGACACAGGUGCUGCAUGGCUGUCGU